Molecule: ribosomal RNA, 406 nt
Filed under: uncultured bacterium
Lineage: Bacteria
Description: partial 16S ribosomal RNA
Rfam family: Bacterial small subunit ribosomal RNA
Source: RNAcentral
AUUGAACGCUGGCGGGAGGCUUUACACAUGCAAGUCGAACGAGUGGCGGACGGGUGCGUAAUGUAUGGGAAAGUGCCUGGUGGAGGGGGAUAACUACUGGAAAAAGUAGCUAAUACCGCAUACCAUCAGAUCUGCCCAGAUGGGAUUAGCUUGUUGGUGGGGUAACGGCUCACCAAGGCGAAGAGACCUAGCUUGUUUGAGAGGAUGACCAGCCACACUGGGACUGAGACACGGUCCAGACUCCUACGGGAGGCAGCAGUGGGGAAUAUUGCACAAUGGGCGCAAGCCUGAUGCAGCCAUGCCGCGUGUAUGAAGAAGGCCUUCGGGUUGUAAAGUACUUUCAGCGGGGAGGCGUUACCCGCAGAAUAAGCACCGGCUAACUCCGUGCCAGCAGCCGCGGUAAUUC